RNAcentral lists this unclassified non-coding RNA (280 nucleotides) under uncultured fungus. RNAcentral's name for it is "partial contains small subunit ribosomal RNA, internal transcribed spacer 1, and 5.8S ribosomal RNA". The stretch from base 1 to 73 matches the Rfam family "Eukaryotic small subunit ribosomal RNA", at positions 1759 to 1831 of the family's 1831-position model. The record is from RNAcentral. Lineage: Eukaryota; Fungi.
GCAAACUUGGUCAUUUAGAGGAAGUAAAAGUCGUAACAAGGUCUCCGUUGGUGAACCAGCGGAGGGAUCAUUACUGAGUGUUAAAACUCCCAACCCGUGUGAACAUACCUAUCGUUGCUUCGGCGGCCUCGCCCCGGGUGCCUCAGGGCGCCCCGGACCCAGGCGACCGCCGGGGGACCCAAACUCUUGUUUUAUUCAGUAUCUUCUGAGUGGUUUAUACAAAUAAAUCAAAACUUUCAACAACGGAUCUCUUGGCUCUCGCAUCGAUGAAGAACGCAGC